CGCUUCACGCUCACCUCAUCAUUCUUUUCCAAACGACGCUCCACCCUCACUUCCCUUUCCAACGCAACUCUGCCCUCCAAAGAACCGAUUAUAAAGAUGACGAUUCAGUCCCCAAGGCAACGAUUCAGGCGAUUCUUAACCUUAGGGUUUAUAAGUGAUCGCUCCUGUUAGGCGAUUCAUAAAUGAUUCAGGCGAUCCUUGAGGGCACGAUUUCAAUUCAAAUCUCUGAUUGCGUGUGGAACUUUUGAACUAUGGAGGUUUUCAAGCUCUGUUUGAUUCAAAGUUGGAAGUUCAUUGUUGGAAGACUCAAGACCCGAUUCAAGGUGAUCCAUUGACUGGUCUAGUGAGCAAGAAAAGGGUAGAAUAGAGGUCAGGUACUGCAUCAAGUACACAUCCAGGAGAUCUGUGAAAAGAAUCACCUGCAAAAAGCAAACCACACUUUCAAAUGUAAGUAAAUCCAUUUUUCAUGAACUUUGUUGUAGUUAAUUUUAGUUUGUGGUUAAUUGAAUUUGUAAGGAAUCUCCAUUUUAACUUAAGUGUUGGAGAUCUCCUAGCUGUCCUUUUUUAAAUUCAAAAUUUGUAUCAUGAAAUGAAAUGUGAUUACAAAUGUCGCUAUUGUAGAAAUGAAAUGUGAUUAGAUUUUAAGAUG
Molecule: long non-coding RNA, 649 nt
Organism: Cynara cardunculus var. scolymus (artichoke)
Lineage: Eukaryota; Viridiplantae; Streptophyta; Magnoliopsida; Asterales; Asteraceae
Exons: 3
Source: RefSeq, a predicted model, not a curated record